UUCUUGAUUAAUUUUCCUCUUCUGGUUUUAAAUCUUUAAAAGUACACCAACAAUUUAUAGAAGGGAAAUUUUAACGUGUGGGGUAAGGGUUUUGUUUCCUAAAUUCUUUUUGCAACGAGGGUGCUGUUACGUAUAUUUUGCUUCCUUUGGAUCCAAUAUCCAGCAUCUGCCUGUUGGCAAAGUAGUGAAUAGAUGUGUAUAUAUUGGUA
Molecule: unclassified non-coding RNA, 209 nt
Filed under: Hevea brasiliensis (rubber tree)
Lineage: Eukaryota; Viridiplantae; Streptophyta; Magnoliopsida; Malpighiales; Euphorbiaceae
Source: RNAcentral